ACGGUGAGGGAUGAAAGCUGGGGGAGCAAACCGGAAUAGAUACCCGGGUAGUCCCAGCUGUAAACGAUGCAGACUCGGUGAUGAGUUGGCUUCUUGCUAACUCAGUGCCGCAGGGAAGCCGUUAAGUUUGCCGCCUGGGGAGUACGGUCGCAAGACUGAAACUUAAAGGAAUUGGCGGGGAGCACCACAAGGGCCGAAGCCUGCGGUUCAAUUGGAGUCAACGCCG
RNAcentral lists this ribosomal RNA (226 nucleotides) under uncultured Nitrososphaerota archaeon. Its description in RNAcentral is "uncultured thaumarchaeote partial 16S ribosomal RNA". It matches the Rfam family "Archaeal small subunit ribosomal RNA", at positions 694 to 920 of the family's 1478-position model. Lineage: Archaea; Thermoproteati; Nitrososphaerota. The record is from RNAcentral.